Molecule: transfer RNA, 87 nt
Filed under: Felis catus (domestic cat)
Lineage: Eukaryota; Metazoa; Chordata; Mammalia; Carnivora; Felidae
Also listed under: 4 other names
Rfam family: tRNA
About the family: Transfer RNA (tRNA) molecules are approximately 80 nucleotides in length. Their secondary structure includes four short double-helical elements and three loops (D, anti-codon, and T loops).
Source: Rfam by way of RNAcentral
GCCUGGGUGGUUCAGUUGGUUGAACAUCUGACUUUGGCUCAGGUCAUGAUCUCACAGCUCUUGUGAGUUUGAGCCCCUCAUCGGGCU